UGGGGAAUUUUGGACAAUGGGCGCAAGCCUGAUCCAGCCAUGCCGCGUGCGGGAAGAAGGCCUUCGGGUUGUAAACCGCUUUGUCAGGGAAGAAAUCUUCUGAGUUAAUACCUCGGGAGGAUGACGGUACCUGAAGAAUAAGCACCGGCUAACUACGUGCCAGCAGCCGCGGUAAUACGUAGGGUGCAAGCGUUAAUCGGAAUUACUGGGCGUAAAGCGUGCGCAGGCGGUUUUGUAAGACAGAGGUGAAAUCCCCGGGCUCAACCUGGGAACUGCCUUUGUGACUGCAAGGCUUGAGUGCGGCAGAGGGGGAUGGAAUUCCGCGUGUAGCAGUGAAAUGCGUAGAUAUGCGGAGGAACACCGAUGGCGAAGGCAAUCCCCUGGGCCUGCACUGACGCUCAUGCACGAAAGCGUGGGGAGCAAACAGGAUUAGAUACCCUGGUAGUCCACGCCCUAAACGAUGUCAACUGGUUGUUGGGAAGGUUCCUUCUCAGUAACGUAGCUAACGCGUGAAGUUGACCGCCUGGGGAGUACGGCCGCAAGGUUGAAAC
This 551-nucleotide ribosomal RNA is filed under the name uncultured bacterium. Its description in RNAcentral is "partial 16S ribosomal RNA". It matches the Rfam family "Bacterial small subunit ribosomal RNA", at positions 355 to 900 of the family's 1533-position model. The record is from RNAcentral.